RNAcentral lists this ribosomal RNA (535 nucleotides) under Texola elada (Elada checkerspot). Its description in RNAcentral is "partial 16S ribosomal RNA". The stretch from base 398 to 535 matches the Rfam family "Archaeal large subunit ribosomal RNA", at positions 2542 to 2680 of the family's 2987-position model. Lineage: Eukaryota; Metazoa; Arthropoda; Insecta; Lepidoptera; Nymphalidae. The record is from RNAcentral.
UCAAAAACAUGUCUUUUUGAGAAUAAUUUAAAGUCUAAUCUGCCCACUGAUAAAAUUAUUAAAGGGCUGCAGUAUAUUGACUGUACAAAGGUAGCAUAAUCAUUAGUCUUUUAAUUGAAGACUUGUAUGAAAGAUUUGAUGAAAUAUAAACUGUCUCUAAUUUAUAUAUAAAAAUUAAUUUUUUAGUUAAAAAGCUAAAAUAUUAUUAAAAGACGAGAAGACCCUAUAAAGUUUUAUAAUUUAUUUAUUUAAUAUUAAAUAUAUAAUUAAAUAUAAUAAUUAAAUAAAUUAUUUUAUUGGGGUGAUAGAAAAAUUAAAAAAACUUUUUUUAAAAUAAAACAUAUAUAAAUGAUAAGAUGAUCCAUUAUUAAUGAUUAAAAGAAAAAAUUACUUUAGGGAUAACAGCGUAAUAUUUUUUUUUAGUACGAAUAAAAAAAAAAGUUUGCGACCUCGAUGUUGGAUUAAGAUAAAAUUUAAAUGCAAAAGUUUAAAAUUUUGAUCUGUUCGAUCAUUAAAAUCUUACAUGAUCUGAGCU